Molecule: ribosomal RNA, 559 nt
Filed under: uncultured bacterium
Lineage: Bacteria
Description: bacterial SSU rRNA
Rfam family: Bacterial small subunit ribosomal RNA
Source: RNAcentral
AGCAAAUAGAUACCCGGGUAGUCCACGCCCUAAACUAUGUCAACUGGUUGUCGGGGGAUUAAUUCCCUUGGUAAACGAAAGCUAAACGCGUGAAAGUUGACCGCCUGGGGAGUACGGCCGCAAGGUUAAAACUCAAAGGAAUUGACGGGGACCCGCACAAGCGGUGGAUUAUGUGGAUUAAUUCGAUGCAAACGCGAAAAACCUUACCUACCCUUGACUUGUAGCGAACCUCGCAGAGAUGUGAGGGUGCCCGAAAGGGAACGCUAACACAGGUGCUGCAUGGCUGUCGUCAGCUCGUGUCGUGAGAUGUUGGGUUAAGUCCCGCAACGAGCGCAACCCUUGUCAUUAGUUGCCACAUUCAGUUGGGCACUCUAAUGAGACUGCCGGUGACAAACCGGAGGAAGGUGGGGAUGACGUCAAGUCCUCAUGGCCCUUAUGGGUAGGGCCUCACACGUAAUACAAUGGCCGGUACAGAGGGCUGCCAACCCGCGAGGGGGAGCUAAUCUCAGAAAGCCGGUCGUAGUCCGGAUUGUUCUCUGCAACUCGAGAACAUGAAGUU